This 1557-nucleotide long non-coding RNA is filed under the name Anas platyrhynchos platyrhynchos (common mallard). RNAcentral's name for it is "lncRNA (ENSAPLG00000017293.1)". Lineage: Eukaryota; Metazoa; Chordata; Aves; Anseriformes; Anatidae. The record is from RNAcentral.
GCAUCCCUGUAUUUUUUUUCAUAUAAUGGCCACAUUUGUGCUCCAGACUCUGCCCUCCGGAAAGGGGGUGCAGAUGUUUGUGACUACUCCAAACUUCCUGUAAUCCAUUGCCAUUUCCAGCCAGGGGAAUCGUGGGUUGGCUGCUGUGAAGAAUCAGUGCCUUGGCUGGCGCAGCCUGCCCAUGCUGCCAUUGCUACACAGCUGCUUCGACCCCUUCUUCUUCAGCUGCUGCUUUUCAUGGACUUUCACAAAAGAAAACUCAAGUGGAAGCUGCUAAAAGGCCCCAACCCAUCACACCACAGGCAUGUUUGGAACAUGAUCCUGAGUUGCAGGAGUUCCUGGAGCCCAAUCAGAAGAGUUCUUUGCAUGGGUAAGGAUCAAACUUCUGGAAAACAGAAUGACAGAGUCUUUUUCAUACCAGAUGAUGCUGUGUAAACACAAGGCUUGGUGGUUCAGCCAUAAGAAGAGUAAGUACUGGGCAACUGGGUAUCCUGCACCUUUGGUACCUCCCUAAAUUCAGGGACAAUGCGAUAAUUAUUUUAAAAAAUUACUUCUUCAUCAUAAUCUGAGCAAUCAUAUCUUAAAAGGCUCAGUGGCACUGAGCUGUUUUUUCUUAGGAAAAGACUCUGCGUUGAAAUGGUUUUGUAAAAAAUGUGUGACCUCUGGACAGCUGGUGUCAAAAAUAGGCUCUGUGAUUCUCCAGUGCAAGAGCAGUGGGGGAAUAUGGCAGGAAAUUGUUGUAUGAGAUAGAAGGCAGUUUGUUUUUUUUCCAAGAGAGUGAUGACAAGGGCUUGAAACUUGUGCUCAUAGUCAAUAUCUCCUUCACUAGCUAAGAGGUAAAGGGGUACAUUUUGGAGAACCUUUCAGACAUAGGUUAUACAAAGACAAGGACUUUCACAGAAUCCAGGAAUGGGUGAAAUUGGAAGGGAUCCCUGGAGGUCAUCCGGUCCAACCCACCUGGGGCUUUCUGGCUCUGUAGGGUCCCCCCAGUUCACCUGAUCCCUCACUAACACAGUGAAUAUGGGGCAGUGGGCACAAACUGGAAUGCAGGAGGUUCUGAACACCAAGAAUCAGCUCUGUACGACGCAGGUGAUGGAGCAAAAGCACAAGCUGCCCAGAGAGGCUGUGGACUCUCCUCAGAGAUCUUCAGAAAUCACCUGGACAUGGUCCUGGACAAGCUGGAUUAACAAUCCUUAACUCCACCCCUGCUUAGGGAUUUAUGACUCAUUUGUGUCUUCUAUAAUGCACAAGGGAUACCUUGUGAUCUGGGCUUGGAUUGCACACACCAAAAAAAAAGUGCAGCUGUGGGUAUGCAUCUCAGUCUUCCCACUUGUUCCUGAGGCAAUUUCAUAAUAUUCAUAUUUCUUAUUAAUACAUGUUCCAAAGAAGAAGAGAGGAAAUAUGGCUCUGGGAAUUGGCUUGGGGUGUGUUACAAGGAAAGCAGUCAGCCCAUGUGAUAUAUAGGGAAAUAACUGGCCAUAGACUGUCCAAAAACAAAACCAUAAUGGUUUACAAGGCUACAUGAAUAAAAGGAAAAUGACUACCGUGACUUUGCCA